CCUACGGGUGGCAGCAGUGGGGAAUAUUGGGCAAUGGGCGCAAGCCUGACCCAGCAACGCCGCGUGAAGGAAGAAGGCUUUCGGGUUGUAAACUUCUUUUCUCAGGGACGAAGAAAGUGACGGUACCUGAGGAAUAAGCCACGGCUAACUACGUGCCAGCAGCCGCGGUAAUACGUAGGUGGCAAGCGUUAUCCGGAUUUAUUGGGUGUAAAGGGCGUGUAGGCGGGAGCGCAAGUGAGAUGGGAAACCUUAGGGCUCAACCCUGGGCCUGCAUUUGAUACUGUGUUUCUUGAGUGCUGGAGAGGCAAGUGGAAUUCCGGGUGUAGCGGUGAAAUGCGUAGAUAGAAGGAGGAACACUAGUGGCGAAGGCGGAUUGCUGGACAGUAACUGACGCUGAGGCGCGAAAGCGUGGGGAGCAAACAGGAUUAGAUACCCGGGUAGUC
RNAcentral lists this ribosomal RNA (443 nucleotides) under uncultured bacterium. Its description in RNAcentral is "partial 16S ribosomal RNA". It matches the Rfam family "Bacterial small subunit ribosomal RNA", at positions 338 to 795 of the family's 1533-position model. The record is from RNAcentral.